GGCGGUUCGCCGCCCGCGACGUCGCGAGAAGUCCACUGAACCUUAUCAUUUAGAGGAAGGAGAAGUCGUAACAAGGUUUCCGUAGGUGAACCUGCGGAAGGAUCAUUGUCGCUGCCCCGAAACACGACCGCGAACACGUAACGUAAAGCCGCCGGGGAGGGGCCUCCUCCCCGGACCCGCCGGCCCCGGCCCCCCGGCCGGGCGCCGGAACACGGCGCGGACUGUCGCCAAGGAACACCGAUCUGCCCACGGCACGCCGCGCUCCGCGGCGCUGCCGAGGCCAUAGAAACAGUACGACUCUCGGCAACGGAUAUCUCGGCUCUCGCAUCGAUGAAGAACGUAGCGAAAUGCGAUACGUGGUGUGAAUUGCAGAAUCCCGUGAACCAUCGAGUCUUUGAACGCAAGUUGCGCCCGAGGGACCCUCCCGAGGGCACGCCUGCCUGGGCGUUAGAAGCCCAUCAACGCCCGGUCACCCGACCGCGUGCGGACAGUGGCCCCCCGAGCCGCAGAGGCACGGCGGGCUGAAGCGCGAGGCCGUCGACCGCGUCGGGAGCGGCAAGUGGUGGGCCACAGCGCAUGCCGACCCCGACCCGCGUCGACGCACGGCCCUUCCGGACCCCACGACGAGGAGACCGUCGCCGCGGCGGCGGCUCCUUCGGACCGAUACCCCAGGUCAGGCGGGGCCACCCGCUGAGUUUAAGCAUAUAAAUAAG
This 713-nucleotide ribosomal RNA is filed under the name Cyperus insularis. Its description in RNAcentral is "eukaryotic LSU rRNA". The stretch from base 296 to 450 matches the Rfam family "5.8S ribosomal RNA". Lineage: Eukaryota; Viridiplantae; Streptophyta; Magnoliopsida; Poales; Cyperaceae. The record is from RNAcentral.